This 157-nucleotide unclassified non-coding RNA is filed under the name soil metagenome. Its description in RNAcentral is "partial contains 5.8S ribosomal RNA, internal transcribed spacer 2, and large subunit ribosomal RNA". The record is from RNAcentral.
AACCAUAGAAACCUGCGGAGUACCUGCGGAAGGAUCAUUUUUGGAUUCUAACCUAAACACGCCUGUGGGUAACCACUGGUUAUAAACCUUACCAACUCCUAUUAACUACAAUUGUCUGAUAAAAUACCUAAUCAAUACAACUUUUAACAAUGGAUCU